RNAcentral lists this long non-coding RNA (375 nucleotides) under Marmota monax (woodchuck). The record is from RNAcentral. Lineage: Eukaryota; Metazoa; Chordata; Mammalia; Rodentia; Sciuridae.
GGCCUGACCAAGGUCCCAGAUCCCAGGAUUUUACCUGUAUCCUGAUGAUUGUGCAGCUGUUGGUCCAACUCUCCAGGGAGUCGGUGGCAAUGGCUGCUGGGAAGGUACAGGUCCCCCAGGUAAAGGAAAUCCCAAACUAUCAGGUGUCACCAUCUCCUUCAACUUGAGGGGCACAAAGGGCCAGCAUGAUUGUCACAUCCCAGUCAGGGAACCAAAUAUUGCGAGAAACAGAGUAUCAACAAGCAGCCAGCAGCACUGGGAGAGGAGGAGAACUUCAAACUUUAUUUACACCAACAGACCUCCCCCAAAAAACAAAAACUACAAAUCCUGAGUCCUGACCCACAGUUUCUCACAAUAUUUAUAAGUUGUUUGAUG